Molecule: ribosomal RNA, 832 nt
Filed under: uncultured bacterium
Lineage: Bacteria
Description: bacterial SSU rRNA
Rfam family: Bacterial small subunit ribosomal RNA
Source: RNAcentral
UAUGCCCUUCUCUACGGAAUAGCCUCGGGAAACUGAGAGUAAUACCGUAUACGCCCUUCGGGGGAAGAUUUAUCGGAGAAGGAUUAGCCCGCGUUGGAUUAGGUAGGUUGGUGGGGUAAUGGCCUACCAAGCCGACGAUCCAUAGCUGGUUUGAGAGGAUGAUCAGCCACACUGGGACUGAGACACGGCCCAGACUCCUACGGGAGGCAGCAGUGGGGAAUCUUAGACAAUGGGGGCAACCCUGAUCUAGCCAUGCCGCGUGAGUGACGAAGGUCUUAGGAUCGUAAAGCUCUUUCGCCAGGGAAGAUAAUGACGGUACCUGGUAAAGAAGUCCCGGCUAACUCCGUGCCAGCAGCCGCGGUAAUACGGAGGGGACUAGCGUUGUUCGGAAUUACUGGGCGUAAAGCGCACGUAGGCGGAUUAGAAAGUAUGGGGUGAAAUCCCAGGGCUCAACCCUGGAACUGCCUCAUAAACUUCUAGUCUUGAGUUCGAGAGAGGUGAGUGGAAUUCCGAGUGUAGAGGUGAAAUUCGUAGAUAUUCGGAGGAACACCGUGGCGAAGGGCGGGCUUCACUGGGCUCAGAUUACUGAACGCUGAGGUGCGAAAGGCGUUGGGGGAGCAAACAGGGAUUAGGAUUACCCCUGGUAGUCCACGCCGUAAAACGAUUGAAAUGCCAGACGUUCGGGGUAGCAUGCUAUUUCGGGUGACACACCUAAACGGGAUUAAAGCAUUCCGCCUGGGGAAGUAACGGUCGCAAAGAUUUAAAACUCAAAAGGAAAUUUGACGGGGGCCCGCACAAGCGGUGGGAGCAUGUGGUUUAAUUUCGAAGCGAC